Molecule: ribosomal RNA, 468 nt
Filed under: uncultured bacterium
Lineage: Bacteria
Description: partial 16S ribosomal RNA
Rfam family: Bacterial small subunit ribosomal RNA
Source: RNAcentral
GACGAACGCUGGCGGCGUGCUUAACACAUGCAAGUCGAACGGAAAGGCCCUGCAUUUGUGGGGUGCUCGAGUGGCGAAAGGGUGAGUAACACGUGAGUAACCUGCCCUUGACUUUGGGAUAACUUCAGGAAACUGGGGCUAAUACCGGAUAGGAGCUCCUGCUGCAUGGUGGGGGUUGGAAAGUUUCGGCGGUUGGGGAUGGACUCGCGGCUUAUCAGCUUGUUGGUGGGGUAGUGGCUUACCAAGGCUUUGACGGGUAGCCGGCCUGAGAGGGUGACCGGCCACAUUGGGACUGAGAUACGGCCCAGACUCCUACGGGAGGCAGCAGUGGGGAAUAUUGCACAAUGGGCGGAAGCCUGAUGCAGCAACGCCGCGUGCGGGAUGACGGCCUUCGGGUUGUAAACCGCUUUCGCCUGUGACGAAGCGUGAGUGACGGUAAUGGGUAAAGAGGCACCGGCUAACUACGUG